UAUAACACCUUCAACUCCAAUAAAAUUAAAAUACAAAAUAAUACUACUUCACCAAGUAGCAUGAACAUCAAUUUAAUUAGGGUACAAACAAAUGUCCUGUCUCAAUGUCCGUUCCAUUUAACCAUAUCCCAAUAUGGAAUUUAAGUAAUCUCAUUACCCCCUUGAGAUUAUUAACCACAUCAUAUGGAAUAGGAGUAAUAGUCUCCACAAUUGCACCUUCACGC
Molecule: long non-coding RNA, 224 nt
Filed under: Olea europaea (common olive)
Lineage: Eukaryota; Viridiplantae; Streptophyta; Magnoliopsida; Lamiales; Oleaceae
Description: long non-coding RNA (OEUR_LNC002554)
Source: RNAcentral